GAACUUUGGCAGCACAUGGACUAAAACUGGAUCAAUACAGAAAAGAUUAGCAUGGCCCCUGCAUAAAGAUGACACUCUAAUUCAUUAAAACAUUCCAUAUUUUU
Molecule: small nuclear RNA, 104 nt
Organism: Dromiciops gliroides (monito del monte)
Lineage: Eukaryota; Metazoa; Chordata; Mammalia; Microbiotheria; Microbiotheriidae
Source: RefSeq, a predicted model, not a curated record